Molecule: ribosomal RNA, 253 nt
Filed under: uncultured bacterium
Lineage: Bacteria
Description: partial 16S ribosomal RNA
Rfam family: Bacterial small subunit ribosomal RNA
Source: RNAcentral
UACGUAGGGGGCGAGCGUUGUCCGGAGUUACUGGGCGUAAAGCGCACGCAGGCGGUCUGUUAAGUUUGGAGUGACAGUUGGUGGCUUAACUGCCAAAGUGCUUCGAAAACUGACAGACUUGAGGGCUUCAGAGGGACACGGAAUUCCCGGUGUAGCGGUGAAAUGCGCAGAUAUCGGGAAGAACACCCGUGGCGAAGGCGGCUCUCUGGGACGGUACUGACGCUGAGACGCGAAAGCGUGGGGAGCGAACAGG